This is a non-coding RNA of Acanthosepion pharaonis, 111 nucleotides long. NCBI's taxonomy places the organism in Eukaryota, Metazoa, Mollusca, Cephalopoda, Sepiida, Sepiidae. The record is from the annotation of a GenBank genome assembly.
CGGCCUUAUCACGUUAAAACACCAGUUCCCGUACGAUCAUUGAAGUUAAGAAAAAACGGAGCCAGGUCAGUAACUGUAUGGGUGACCGCUUGGGAAUACCAUAUACUGUAA